This 712-nucleotide long non-coding RNA is filed under the name Mus spicilegus (steppe mouse). RNAcentral describes it as "lncRNA (ENSMSIG00000024866.1)". The record is from RNAcentral. Lineage: Eukaryota; Metazoa; Chordata; Mammalia; Rodentia; Muridae.
AAAAUAGCCAAUAAAAAAUAUGAUUGCAUCAACCUCUUAUUCAAAACACAUUAGAUGAAUGAAACACAAAGGUCUUCAGGAUUGGUCACUGUCUACUUUGUCAUAUAUGGAAGAAAAUAGUUAACUUUUCUCUGUGUUUCUAUUUAUCAAUUUACAGAUUAUCCUCCAGUGUUUUAAAUCUGUAAAAUAACUGCUGAGGUGCAGUGUGCUAGUUAGAAGCUCUGUUAUUGUCCUCGAUUAUCAUAUUUUAUUAGGAUCAUAUCUUCUACUUGAUUGCUCAGGCAGCAAGGAAUAAUGGACCUUUGGUAUUCCCACUUUGGAGCUAUACACUAUCAACUCUUGACAGUGUUAAAUAUGGGAAAGAAAAGAAUACAGAAUGGAACGAGUGAGUGUUUGGAAUGUAAACUCAUCUGAUCAAACAUUUGUUGAGUUCCAACAGAGUCUGGCACGAGGGAGAAAAUAGUCAUGAGGCUUUAGUGCUCUCUCCUGCUGGGAAACACGUGUGACUGGGACCACUGGCCUGUUUGCCUUAACUGGAAUUUUACAAAGAAGUUUAAGAAUGCCUUUGACUUUUUCCUUUUAAAAGUCUUGUAAUCAGAUCUAUUUGGAGCAGAAGAAAUGCUCACACCACUAUUAUAUUAUUCAACUUAUUUUGUAUGGAAUGCAUGUAUGUUAGAAAAUGGAUGACUGCAUUUUCUCAUUUAAUAAUGCA